GAUGUAGUUACUGCUCUGAGUUUCCUUGUAGGAGGUCCAGAAGCAGGCAGUGUUACACAUGAUUCUUCCCCUUCUUCGCCAUCAGAACUAAACACAACGGGAGAUGAUGAAGACAGCACAUGAGAACGUGAAGAACCAGUGGCAGAAGCCAUGGAAUGGGGCUCAAACUCAAAGCAGUGUUGAAGUGCUUCUUCAUUUUAACUAAUUAUCCGUUGCAUAUACUGUAUGGAUGGAUGGAUAUGGCCUUUCCCUGGAGAGAUUCUUUAAUUCUGUAUAUUGUUCUGUAUAAACCCAUAUGUAAGGAAGUUACUGAUAUGGGAGGAGGAUGGAACAUGAGCUGAGAAGAAGAUGAAGAUGAAGAUGAAUUUCUGAGAAAAAGCAUAAGGUUUUAUAAGCACUCAUCAAAUGCUUCACGAAUGUUUCUAUAAGGGAUUAGUGCAAAAAGACUAAAGUUUUGGUUAGUUUCAAUAUUUCUGCUGUAAUUGUGACGCUUGAUCUAUCAGAUAGAUUUUACAGUAGGC
RNAcentral lists this unclassified non-coding RNA (521 nucleotides) under Hevea brasiliensis (rubber tree). Lineage: Eukaryota; Viridiplantae; Streptophyta; Magnoliopsida; Malpighiales; Euphorbiaceae. The record is from RNAcentral.